ACUUCAUAUGAUGUUUUGGUGAUAUAAACCAGCAAGAAGAUCUUCUUAGAGGUAUAUACAACUUUGUUUUCAGCUUCAUUGAAGUCAGCUUUAUUUAGACAUGGAACACAUUUGAAGGUAAACCUUUUCAAAAUCCUCAAUCGACCUGUUUUAUAUUGUACAGUUUGACAUCUCUUGCACAUGAAUGACUAUUCAUUGAUAGUGCCUGCAAAGAUGUGGCUGUAGUUGUUUCUUUGUCUGCACGAUCAUUCUUAAAUUUGUGACAUAUAGAUUGGCUCUCACGCAUA
RNAcentral lists this ribosomal RNA (287 nucleotides) under Triticum aestivum (bread wheat). RNAcentral's name for it is "partial small subunit ribosomal RNA". Lineage: Eukaryota; Viridiplantae; Streptophyta; Magnoliopsida; Poales; Poaceae. The record is from RNAcentral.